GCGAACGCUGGCGGCGUGCCUAACACAUGCAAGUCGAACGCUGAAGUCGCUGUAGCAAUACAGCGGCGGAGGCGUGGCGAACGGGUGAGUAACGCGUGGACAACCUGCCCGCAAGUGGGGGAUAACCCCGGGAAACUGGGGCUAAUACCGCAUAACAUCCUUGGGUCGUCGGAUCCGAGGAUCAAACCCGCAAGGGGCUGGCGGAGGGGUCCGCGUCCGAUCAGCUAGUUGGUGAGGUCAUGGCUCACCAAGGCGAAGACCGGUAGCCGAUCUGAGAGGAUGGUCGGCCACACUGGGACUGAGACACGGCCCAGACUCCUACGGGAGGCAGCAGUGGGGAAUAUUGCGCAAUGGGGGAAACCCUGACGCAGCGACGCCGCGUGGAGGACGAAGCCCUUCGGGGUGUAAACUCCUUUCGACGGGGACGAAAACCCGCAAGGGUCUGACGGUACCCGUAGAAGAAGCCCCGGCUAACUACGU
RNAcentral lists this ribosomal RNA (480 nucleotides) under uncultured bacterium. RNAcentral's name for it is "bacterial SSU rRNA". It matches the Rfam family "Bacterial small subunit ribosomal RNA", at positions 30 to 506 of the family's 1533-position model. The record is from RNAcentral.